Molecule: ribosomal RNA, 512 nt
Filed under: uncultured bacterium
Lineage: Bacteria
Also listed under: 1 other name
Description: bacterial SSU rRNA
Rfam family: Bacterial small subunit ribosomal RNA
Source: RNAcentral
GAGUUUGAUCAUGGCUCAGAACGAACGCUGGCGGCGUGGAUAAGACAUGCAAGUCGAACGCUAAUUCUGGUGUAGCAAUAUAUCAGAGUUGGAGUGGCGCAAGGGUGCGUAACACGUGGGUAAUUUGCCAUGAAGUUGGGGAUAACUCGCUGAAAGGCGAGCUAAUACCGGAUGUGGUUUUUGGAAGGCAUCUUCUGACAACUAAAGCUGGGGAUCGUAAGACCUGGCGCUUCAUGAUAAGCCCGCGGCCUAUCAGCUAGUUGGUGAGGUAACGGCUCACCAAGGCUAAGACGGGUAGCUGGUCUGAGAGGACGACCAGCCACACUGGAACUGAGACACGGUCCAGACACCUACGGGUGGCAGCAGUCGAGAAUUUUUCUCAAUGGGCGCAAGCCUGAAGGAGCGACGCCGCGUGGGGGAUGAAGGGUUUCGAUCCGUAAACCCCUGUCAUUUGUGAACAAUGGUUAUUAUUUAAAAGAUGAUGACUUGAUAGUAAUGAAAGAGGAAGGGAC